GGGGUUAUGGCUCAGUGGUAGAGCGCUCACCUGGCAUGUGUGAGGCCCUGGGUUCAAUCCUCAACACCA
This 69-nucleotide transfer RNA is filed under the name Ictidomys tridecemlineatus (thirteen-lined ground squirrel). Its description in RNAcentral is "Spermophilus tridecemlineatus (thirteen-lined ground squirrel) tRNA". It matches the Rfam family "tRNA". Rfam says of the family: Transfer RNA (tRNA) molecules are approximately 80 nucleotides in length. The record is from Rfam by way of RNAcentral. Lineage: Eukaryota; Metazoa; Chordata; Mammalia; Rodentia; Sciuridae.